This 591-nucleotide ribosomal RNA is filed under the name Cystobasidium sp. CBS 7295. RNAcentral's name for it is "eukaryotic LSU rRNA". The stretch from base 169 to 322 matches the Rfam family "5.8S ribosomal RNA". The record is from RNAcentral. Lineage: Eukaryota; Fungi; Basidiomycota; Cystobasidiomycetes; Cystobasidiales; Cystobasidiaceae.
UCCGUAGGUGAAACUGCGGAAGGAUCAUUAAUGAAUUUUAGGACGUUCUUUUUAGAAGUCCGACCCUUUCAUUUUCUUACACCGUGCACACACUUCUUUUUUACACACACUUUUAACACCUUAGUAUAAGAAUGUAAUAGUCUCUUAAUUGAGCAUAAAUAAAAACAAAACUUUCAGCAACGGAUCUCUUGGCUCUCGCAUCGAUGAAGAACGCAGCGAAUUGCGAUAAGUAAUGUGAAUUGCAGAAUUCAGUGAAUCAUCGAAUCUUUGAACGCACCUUGCACUCUUUGGUAUUCCGAAGAGUAUGUCUGUUUGAGUGUCAUGAAACUCUCAACCCCCCUAUUUUGUAAUGAGAUGGGCGUGGGCUUGGAUUAUGGUUGUCUGUUGGCGUAAUUGCCGGCUCAACUGAAAUACACGAGCAACCCUACUGAAAUAAACGGUUUGACUUGGCGUAAUAAUUAUUUCGCUAAGGACGUUUUCUUCAAUUAUAAGAGGUGCUUCUAAUUCGCUUCUAAUAGCAUUUAAGCUUUAGACCUCAAAUCAGUCAGGGCUACCCGCUGAACUUAAGCAUAUCAAUAAGCGGAGGAAAAG